Molecule: ribosomal RNA, 246 nt
Filed under: Bacillus amyloliquefaciens
Lineage: Bacteria; Bacillati; Bacillota; Bacilli; Caryophanales; Bacillaceae
Description: partial 16S rRNA. Bacterial SSU
Rfam family: Bacterial small subunit ribosomal RNA
Source: RNAcentral
CUUUAUCGGAGAGUUUGAUCCUGGCUCAGGACGAACGCUGGCGGCGUGCCUAAUACAUGCAAGUCGAGCGGACAGAUGGGAGCUUGCUCCCUGAUGUUAGCGGCGGACGGGUGAGUAACACGUGGGUAACCUGCCUGUAAGACUGGGAUAACUCCGGGAAACCGGGGCUAAUACCGGAUGGUUGUUUGAACCGCAUGGUUCAGACAUAAAAGGUGGCUUCGGCUACCACUUACAGAUGGACCCGCG